GGUUCAACCGAACAAUCCGAUAAAACUGGAAUGACAUAGAGUAGAUUAACAUGGCCCCUGUGCAAGGAUGACACGCCAUAAACAGUUCUU
This 90-nucleotide small nuclear RNA is filed under the name Nicotiana attenuata. Lineage: Eukaryota; Viridiplantae; Streptophyta; Magnoliopsida; Solanales; Solanaceae. The record is from RNAcentral.